UGAUCCUGGCUCAGGACGAACGCUGUCGGUGCGCGUUAUGCAUGCAAGUUGAGCGAAGCUUUUCAGUAGUUUACUACAGAAAAUGACUGAGCGGCGAACGGGUGAGUAACGCGUGAGCAAUCUACCUUAGUUACUGGGAUAGCCCGAGGAAACUCGGAUUAAUACCGGAUAUUCUUAUUUUUUCACAUGAAGUUUUAAGGAAAGGUCAGCCGAACUAAGAUGAGCUCGCGUUCUAUCAGCUAGUUGGUGGGGUAAAAGCCUACCAAGGCAACGACGGAUAGAUGGUCUGAGAGGACGAUCAGCCACACUGGGACUGAGACACGGCCCAGACUCCUACGGGAGGCUGCAGCAGGGAAUAUUGUGCAAUGAGCGAAAGCUUGACACAGCGACACCGCGUGUGGGAUGACGGUUCUAGGAUUGUAAACCACUUUCAGGAGGGAAGAAAAUGACGGUACCUCCACAAGAAGACCCGGCCAACUAUGUGCCAGCAGCCGCGGUAAUACAUAGGGGUCAAGCGUUGUCCGGAUUUAUUGGGCGUAAAGAGCUCGUAGGCGGUUCAACAAGUCGGUCGUAAAAGUUUAGGGCUCAACCCUAAAAUGUCGAUCGAUACUGUUGUGACUAGGAUACGGUAGAGGUGAAUGGAAUUCCGAGUGUAGCGGUGAAAUGCGUAGAUAUUCGGAGGAACACCAAUUGCGAAGGCAGUUCACUGGACCGUGAUCGACGCUGAGGAGCGAAAGCUAGGGGAGCAAACAGGAUUAGAUACCCUGGUAGU
Molecule: ribosomal RNA, 772 nt
Filed under: uncultured marine bacterium
Lineage: Bacteria
Description: bacterial SSU rRNA
Rfam family: Bacterial small subunit ribosomal RNA
Source: RNAcentral